RNAcentral lists this ribosomal RNA (426 nucleotides) under uncultured prokaryote. RNAcentral describes it as "bacterial SSU rRNA". It matches the Rfam family "Bacterial small subunit ribosomal RNA", at positions 355 to 799 of the family's 1533-position model. The record is from RNAcentral.
UGGGGAAUUUUCCGCAAUGGGCGCAAGCCUGACGGAGCAAUACCGCGUGAGGGAGGAAGGCUUUUGGGUUGUAAACCUCUUUUCUCAAGGAAGAAGCACUGACGGUACUUGAGGAAUCAGCAUCGGCUAACUCCGUGCCAGCAGCCGCGGUAUUACGGAGGAUGCAAGCGUUAUACGGAAUUAUUGGGCGUAAAGCGUCCGCAGGUGGUGCCUCAAGUCUGCUGUCUAAGACCGAAGCUCAACUUCGGGCAGGCAGUGGAAACUGAAGCACUAGAGUACGGUAGGGGUAGAGGGAAUUUCCAGUGUAGGGGUGACAUGCGUAGAGAUUGGAAAGAACACCAGUGGCGAAGGCGCUCUACUGGACCGUAACUGACACUCAGGGACGAAAGCGAGUGGAGCGAAAGGGAUUAGAUACCCCCGUAGUCG